RNAcentral lists this ribosomal RNA (253 nucleotides) under uncultured bacterium. Its description in RNAcentral is "partial 16S ribosomal RNA". It matches the Rfam family "Bacterial small subunit ribosomal RNA", at positions 524 to 776 of the family's 1533-position model. The record is from RNAcentral.
UACGAAGGUCCCGAGCGUUAUUCGGAAUCACUGGGCGUAAAGGGUGCGUAGGCGGCUCCCUCAGUCAGCGGUGAAAUGUAUCGGCUUAACCGAUAAACUGCCGUUGAUACUGGGGAGCUUGAGUUGGGUUGAGGCAGGCGGAAUGUGCGGUGUAGCGGUGAAAUGCAUAGAUAUCGCACAGAACGCCGAUUGCGUAGGCAGCUUGCCAAGCCCACACUGACGCUGAGGCACGAAAGCGUGGGGAUCAAACAGG